GACGAACGCUGGCGGCGUGCUUAACACAUGCAAGUCGAACGGAAAGGCCCUGCUUGUGUGGGGUGCUCGAGUGGCGAAAGGGUGACUAACAUGUGAGUAACCUGCCCUUGACUUUGGGAUAACUUCAGGAAACUGGGGCUAAUACCGGAUAGGAGCUCCUGCUGCAUGGUGGGGGUUGGAAAGUUUCGGCGGUUGGGGAUGGACUCGCGGCUUAUCAGCUUGUUGGUGGGGUAGUGGCUUACCAAGGCUUUGACGGGUAGCCGGCCUGAGAGGGUGACCGGCCACACUGGGACUGAGAUACGGCCCAGACUCCUACGGGAGGCAGCAGUGGGGAAUAUUGCACAAUGGGCGGAAGCCUGAUGCAGCAACGCCGCGUGCGGGAUGACGGCCUUCGGGUUGUAAACCGCUUUCGCCUGUGACGAAGCGUAAGUGACGGUAAUGGGUAAAGAAGCGCCGGCUAACUACGUG
This 468-nucleotide ribosomal RNA is filed under the name uncultured bacterium. RNAcentral's name for it is "partial 16S ribosomal RNA". It matches the Rfam family "Bacterial small subunit ribosomal RNA", at positions 28 to 507 of the family's 1533-position model. The record is from RNAcentral.